UCCGGGGAUAACAGGCUGAUACCGCCCAAGAGUUCAUAUCGACGGCGGUGUUUGGCACCUCGAUGUCGGCUCAUCACAUCCUGGGGCUGAAGUAGGUCCCAAGGGUAUGGCUGUUCGCCAUUUAAAGUGGUACGCGAGCUGGGUUUAGAACGUCGUGAGACAGUUCGGUCCCUAUCUGCCGUGGGCGCUGGAGAACUGAGGGGGGCUGCUCCUAGUACGAGAGGACCGGAGUGGACGCAUCACUGGUGUUCGGGUUGUCAUGCCAAUGGCACUGCCCGGUAGCUAAAUGCGGAAGAGAUAAGUGCUGAAAGCAUCUAAGCACGAAACUUGCCCCGAGAUGAGUUCUCCCUGACCCUUUAAGGGUCCUGAAGGAACGUUGAAGACGACGACGUUGAUAGGCCGGGUGUGUAAGCGCAGCGAUGCGUUGAGCUAACCGGUACUAAUGAACCGUGAGGCUUAACCUUACAACGCCGAAGCUGUU
RNAcentral lists this ribosomal RNA (481 nucleotides) under Escherichia coli. Its description in RNAcentral is "bacterial LSU rRNA". It matches the Rfam family "Bacterial large subunit ribosomal RNA", at positions 2467 to 2925 of the family's 2925-position model. Lineage: Bacteria; Pseudomonadati; Pseudomonadota; Gammaproteobacteria; Enterobacterales; Enterobacteriaceae. The record is from RNAcentral.